UACAGAGGGUGCAAGCGUUAAUCGGAAUUACUGGGCGUAAAGGGCGCGUAGGCGGAUAUUUAAGUUAGAUGUGAAAUCCCUGGGCUUAACCUAGGAACUGCAUUUAAAACUGGGUAUCUAGAGUAUUGUAGAGGGUAGUGGAAUUUCCGGUGUAGCGGUGAAAUGCGUAGAGAUCGGAAGGAACACCAGUGGCGAAGGCGGCUACCUGGACAAAUACUGACGCUGAGGCGCGAAAGCGUGGGGAGCAAACAGG
RNAcentral lists this ribosomal RNA (253 nucleotides) under uncultured bacterium. RNAcentral's name for it is "partial 16S ribosomal RNA". It matches the Rfam family "Bacterial small subunit ribosomal RNA", at positions 524 to 776 of the family's 1533-position model. The record is from RNAcentral.